UAAAAGGCCAGGCCCAGACGAUUAGGAUUAGCUUGUUGGUAGAUCUCUCUCCGUCGCCGGGAAAUGGCAACAGCAAUAGCUCCGUCGUCUCUAACAUCCACGAGUAUCAUAUCAGGUCCCCUUUCAUCAUAUCGAAAAUUUUACAUUUCCUAUUUUUAUGUGCUCUUAAACCGAAAUUUGGUGCAUUGAGAAUCUGAAGGGCUUAACUAUAUUUUUUUUUCUUUCUUUUUGGGUCUUCUGUACGGAAUGGCAUCUGAUGAUGCCGCUCAAAAAACGGUUAAUACAUUAUCUAGUUAGGGUAAUGAAACUUGAGAUAUGCUCAAAUCACGGAUAGGGAGCAAAGUGAGAGACCCAUGUCUUUUUUUUGGCCAUCUUUGUCAAAGUGUUCUUAUAAAUCUCGAACAUUUGUAAUUCUUUUGGAACUGAUCUGGUUUCAUUGCAAAACAGAUGUCCAACAAAUGAGUUCUCAUCAUAUAUGAUUCUUAAAAGAAUCUUUCUUGCAAGAAACACUUAGUUCCUUUAUUCAACACAUGAAUACAAAUCAGAAUCUGAAAAUCUUUCAAGAACCGGGAUGGUUUUUCACUUCUGUUUCUCUAUAAUCUUUCCUUGUUUUUUUGCCUUUGCAGAGAGUCAACUAUCCUUUUGGAGAUGCAGUAAGCAGCAGAUUGAAUGGUGAUCAUUGGGUUUACACCAACAGCAGAAGGCAACAC
RNAcentral lists this long non-coding RNA (710 nucleotides) under Eutrema salsugineum. RNAcentral describes it as "long non-coding RNA (ESAL_LNC002054)". Lineage: Eukaryota; Viridiplantae; Streptophyta; Magnoliopsida; Brassicales; Brassicaceae. The record is from RNAcentral.